RNAcentral lists this ribosomal RNA (447 nucleotides) under uncultured bacterium. RNAcentral describes it as "partial 16S ribosomal RNA". It matches the Rfam family "Bacterial small subunit ribosomal RNA", at positions 329 to 792 of the family's 1533-position model. The record is from RNAcentral.
UGCCAGACUCCUACGGGAGGCAGCAGUCGGGAAUAUUGCGCAAUGGAGGAAACUCUGACGCAGUGACGCCGCGUGCAGGAAGAAGGUUUUCGGAUUGUAAACUGCUUUAGACAGGGAAGAAAAAAGACAGUACCUGUAGAAUAAGCUCCGGCUAACUACGUGCCAGCAGCCGCGGUAAUACGUAGGGAGCGAGCGUUAUCCGGAUUUAUUGGGUGUAAAGGGUGCGUAGACGGGAUAACAAGUUGGUUGUGAAACCCCUCGGCUCAACUGAGGAACUGCAACCAAAACUAUUAUUCUUGAGUGCAGGAGAGGAAAGUGGAAUUCCUAGUGUAGCGGUGAAAUGCGUAGAUAUUAGGAAGAACACCGGUGGCGAAGGCGACUUUCUGGACUGUAACUGACGUUGAGGCACGAAAGUGUGGGGAGCAAACAGGAUUAGAUACCCGCGUA